Molecule: long non-coding RNA, 1388 nt
Organism: Cyprinus carpio (common carp)
Lineage: Eukaryota; Metazoa; Chordata; Actinopteri; Cypriniformes; Cyprinidae
Source: Ensembl
GCGAGUGUGUUGUGUGUUGCCUGUUCCAAGACCGAUCUACAAAAAGCAGCUCACCCAGAGGGGAAUGUGCUGACCUUUGCAAAGGGAGGGUUUAAUCUGGGUAGCAUUUACAUAACCCUCACACCAAGACUCAUAGCAGGGCUCUCAGAAAAAAUGUAGCCCAGUUUGCGCUUUAUGUGACCUUGAGACUACACCUCAUUAUUUCCCGUGGCUGUAAUUCAAGCCAUUUAUAGCGUUUAGCUCUCAUUUGAAUAUCUUUAGUGGUUUAUGAACUCUUUAGACUCAUGUGCCCUCCUCCCAACUUAGACAAAGGUUUUACUCCUGGUAACUUCCUGGAAUUCUGUGGAGAGUCGUGGUAAGCAGAUGCUUAUGGGUGCUCUUGGGCUGGAUAUCUGCUAUAAAAAGCUCUCCUCCUGGGGCUGCCUUUUUUUUACUGCAGCAGCAGCAACAGCUGCUGGGUUGCUCUGGUGGCCGCUGGUGCAGAGCGGAGUGCACCUGCCCUCCACACAGCCCUGCAUCUGCUCCCACCCAUCCAGACCAGGGCUCCGACUGCCAGAGACACACACACAAGAGGGGAACAGUGUGCCAAAAGUACUCUAACCUCCCAUUUUUCCAUCCUUCAGCUAAAGAUUGAGACUCAAGGAGAACAGGCACAUUGUCACGAGGUCUGGGUGUGCAUGUCCUGACUGUUUCUUUUCACCAGAAGCUUUGUUCGAGAAAAAGCACAGUGUUCCUCUUAAAGAAAAGAAUGUAAAUGCCCUGCGGUAUGAUGUUCACUUUCUCCCUCCAUCUCUCAGUGUCACUCAGUCUUUCUCUUUUGUCCUCGCUUCUCCUUUUUGACCUCCUUUUUUGUACACUUCUGCUUUCUCUCAGAGCGAUGGUCCAAAUGAAUGAAUGGUCCAACUGAAUGGACUACAUUGUGAAAGUCAGACAGGAAACAAUUUAUCUUUGCAUGCUCAAAAAUGUAAAGAGAUGACCCAGAAUCAUUUUUGCCAGGAGGUCAUUACUUAAUGACACAACUUUUUUUCUUUUGCUGUUAAAUAUUUUCUCCUAUCCUAGCUUAAAUCCAACAUAACAUUAUCGGAGGAAAAAAAUGGCAAAAAAAAAAGUCAAAAAAGUAAAAAAAAACCAAACAAAAAAAAAAAUUCUGACUGUUUCUUGUACAAUACUAUGCUUUGACCUCAAAACACUUUUACCAUAGUUCAUGAUUUGCAAACUUAUAAAUUUUUACAUUUGUAUAACAUAACCAGCUCCAUAUAUAACAUACAUCAUAAUCUUGCUCGGUAGCUCACCUGGUUCAACAAUGACUUGAGAUGCAGCACUCAGGUACGGGUCCGUGAAACAAAAGUCACAAUAAAACAGAUCAAAGACUUGUAAAAGGAUGCUGA